Long non-coding RNA from Triticum dicoccoides, 1966 nucleotides. RefSeq lists it as uncharacterized. NCBI's taxonomy places the organism in Eukaryota, Viridiplantae, Streptophyta, Magnoliopsida, Poales, Poaceae. The record is from RefSeq and is a predicted model, not a curated record. The transcript has 8 exons.
GACUCAUUGAGUGUAGGCCCAAGCAAUGAAGUGAGUUUGUCUCCUGUUCUGGGUACGAGAAAACCCGACGUGCGGAGUGCGCGGUGAAAACCCUAGCCUCCAAUCCCCUUCCUCCCUCGAGCCCCGCGCCUCCACCCACUCGCCUCUUUUCUCAUCCACCGCCUUGCACGUCCUCCUCCCCUUCACUUCUCAAGCCGCGCCGCCAACCAUCUGCGCCCCACGACGACGGCGACUUUGUUGCCACCCCGGCGGCCGCGGGGCGCAGCUGGCCUUCAUGGGCCGCAUCAUCGCCACGCUCGACCGCAGCUACCGCUAGGGCCGCUCCCACGCGCUGCUCGAGUCGCCCGCCGGCACCGGCAGGUCGCUCUCCCUCCUUUGCGUCGCGCUGGCCUGGCAGCGCCACUGCCCAGCUCGGUACGCCCCAGCCGCCAACCCCCCUCCACGACGACGCCUUCAUCCCUGGCAACACCCGGCAGCAGCCCACUACUGACAUCCCGGAGAAGGCGGCGGCUGCCAAGAAGAAGAAUGCGCCGACCAUCUACUACAUCACGUAAGAUCUGCUCUCAAAUGAACUGAAAUGAUGGGGCAAUCUUGCCAGCCAGGUUUCUUGGCUGCUUGUCUUGAAUCGAUUAGAUGAAUCCUGAUUGAUUUCAUUUCCCUUCAAAAAAUCCUGAUUAGUUUCUUGGUUCCAUUGUCUAUCGGUUGCCGGAGGACGCGCUGUCAGAUAACCCAGGUGGUCAUGGAGCUGUGCAAGACGAUGGCCAUCUUGGCCUCAAGGAAGCACUAUUGCAUCAAUAAGACCGUAUGCAUGGCUGAGCCAAUUGACGAGGAAUUGUGACAUACAAGACACAUAUAUUUACUAAUCAUUUGGGUUCUUAAUUGUAAACCAUUUAGUGAGACCUUUUCUCCAUCAGCAAGAAGCUUCUAGAUGACAAAGUUCAAGGAUGCCCAGAAUUCAAAAACUGAGUCAUCGUCCAUCCCUUCGGACCGAUGGCUGCUAUGAAGUUCCUGAUAUUGAGGAUCUUCCUAGGGUCGGAACACAAGUCAAAGUUAUUUACAGGAUGUCCAUAUUUUGCUGCACAAACCAUGCAUGGCAAAAGCAGCACAAUUGAUUUUCUGCCCAUAUAGCAACCUAAUUAGUCCAAUUGUCAGGAGAGCAAUGGACAUUGAUAUCAUUGGCUCAAUUGUUAUUCUUGAUGAAGUGCAGUAAGCCCCUGAGUCUGCAGACUCAUGAUUCUUUUUCAGUGUCAUUCAAUGGUUUCCUUAGUUGCAAGACAACGGCUCCCUUUGUUACCGAUCCGGUGUUGUUGUGCGUGAGGACGGACAUGGGGAAGGUGCAACAAGGCAGCGCUCAAGUUGCAGUGGAGUGGAGUCGACCAUCACUACUGACCGCUGCUCGGCGAUCCUCGCCCCUCACCCCCCAUCUAGGUUGCACAUCUUUGGCCUUGCCAUCUUCUUCCUCCCAGUUUUUCCUCUUGAUUUCAUAGGUUCUUUGAAAACCUGAUUUUGAUUUCUUAAUUUAUGUUUUUCUUAACAAGAUGUGGUUAGGAACUAAAUCGACAAGCAUCGAUAUUUUUGUUAGGAAGGAGCGCUAGGAGCCUAGGAGUGGAACACGAUUUCCUCGAAUCUAGCCGAGGCCUCUGCUUUUUUCGUCAUCUUCCAUCGGUCCAAGCUGCUAUUGUUCGCUCCGUCGGCUUGCAGUUGCUUCUGGAGCGUGCUUCAGAUUCAUUGUGCCUCCUUCCAAUGAUCAUAUGCCAGAUUUCAGAACAAAACUAGCUAUCAUUUAGUGGACUCGAGAUUGAAUGGCGAUGAUAUAAAAAACUGAGACUUGAAGAUGACAGAAACAACACAAAUUCCAACGGAUUGUAUGAUUCUGGAUAGACCUCUAAGAACAUGGAGACAACAUAGAUCUCACUGUUUAUUUAUUUAUCUAAGGACGUUAAAUUUGUUACCAUAUGUGUUUACC